RNAcentral lists this ribosomal RNA (253 nucleotides) under uncultured bacterium. Its description in RNAcentral is "partial 16S ribosomal RNA". It matches the Rfam family "Bacterial small subunit ribosomal RNA", at positions 524 to 776 of the family's 1533-position model. The record is from RNAcentral.
UACGUAGGGUGCAGGCGUUAAUCGGUAUUACUGGGCGUAAAGCGUGCGCAGGCGGUUUGCUAAGACAGGUGUGAAAUCCCCGGGCUUAACCUGGGAACUGCGCUUGUAACUGGCAAGCUGGAGUGUGGCAGAGGGAGGUGGAAUUCCACGUGUAGCAGUGAAAUGCGUAGAGAUGUGGAGGAACACCGAUGGCGAAGGCAGCCUCCUGGGCCAGCACUGACGCUCAUGCACGAAAGCGUGGGGAGCAAACAGG